Long non-coding RNA from Grammomys surdaster, 1431 nucleotides. RefSeq lists it as uncharacterized. The transcript is spliced from 3 exons. NCBI's taxonomy places the organism in Eukaryota, Metazoa, Chordata, Mammalia, Rodentia, Muridae. The record is from RefSeq and is a predicted model, not a curated record.
GUGAGCCGCGGGUUCAGCGGGGCAGGGCGCGCCAGGAUGCUGAGCUCCGCCACCCUGUCCAGCCAGCAACCCCGAGACUGGAGCGACCCAGAAAGAAGCAAAGGCUCUUUCGUCCAGUAGCCGCUGUAGGACCGAAAGUUUUGCUCGCUGCAAGUCCCUUCCUCCCAGAGUCCCAGUCACCCACCGUGCGACGUCCCGGAAGGAUCCUGGAGGCUUAGUGGGGAAAAAAUCGGCUGUCUUGCACCCCUCCAUCCCUAUCUCUCAGGGCAGGGCAGGGACUCUAGCGAGUACACCUCCCAGCUACCAUCCACUUCACCCUGUCUCCUCUCUCGGUGAGUCUUGGAACCCGGUCGCUUCGCAGAUGCCUUCAGGAGUCCGAAGCAAAGGGGAAAUGGACAUAACCCCGAGAAGCAGACCCAGCACUUCUAUGGAGCGUGCAGGUCGGCCAGAGGACUUCGCAUCCCCACCCCAACCUGACUGCCAGGAGUGUGGACGCGUGGUGCUUUGAGAUGUCUCUUCUGACCCCAGGGGCAGAUACUGAACGUCCAGCCUCAGCAACAGCUUUGCCACCAUGAGCUUCUUUGAUCACACCCAACCGCUACAACUAGGGAGACCUAAACCUUGCUCACUGACAGCAUUUGAAGAUCCAAAUGCUGCUAUAGAUUGGAAGGUGCCUGUGGAAUGAAAGGGGACAUAGCCGUGUAAGGACAACAUCUUCUGGUGCCGGGUUACUUGUAGACCAUUGCUUUCCUAGUCCAAAUGGGGGACGGCUCAGUGCUUAGGCACAGCCCUACAGGCAGCUCUUAUCGCCAAUUCGUGGAUGAUGAAAUUGAGUGUAUCAGGGACGCUCCUUCCCAUCAUUUUCCCCAAUCUCCUAGAUAUCAAACGCAUGGCCAACGCUACUGCAGUGCACUGUGCCUCUUCUCUCUGCUAUUCAUGUCACAGGCAUUGUAGAUUUCUCACGACAACCUGCCUGGCAAAUGGCUAUGAGGUGGCAUCAGGAAUCUGCAAACUCUCUAAGGCUCACGAUGGACUAGAAGGACCAGAGGAGGGACGGCGUCAUCGAUGACUUUGCAUGAGUCACCAGCUCCACUGAGAGUUUUACUGUUUGCUAGAUCAGGAGUCACUCUCCCUGUGACCACACAGGGAGAGUGCUCUGUGGAGUACAGAGCAGUCUCCAGGAAAGUGUUUAAGUUGGCUAUUUCCCAAGAACUCUCUCAUGUUCGGGAGAUACAAUGCCUUGGGUCAUGGAAUAAUAAGAUGGCCUUGGUUCUAAUGUUGCUUGACUCACCCUACACUGGACCAGGAGGAGACACUGACAUACAUCAGCUUAAUAAAUUUGACAGUGAGGAGGGCCAGCAUGUGUGGUUUCAAUUACAGAUUGACCCAGGAUUGAUUGAGCUGUCCGCUCUGCUCUGGCAGUGAUGGAGC